RNAcentral lists this ribosomal RNA (410 nucleotides) under uncultured bacterium. RNAcentral's name for it is "bacterial SSU rRNA". It matches the Rfam family "Bacterial small subunit ribosomal RNA", at positions 355 to 780 of the family's 1533-position model. The record is from RNAcentral.
UGGGGGAUAUUGCACAAUGGAGGAAACUCUGAUGCAGCGACGCCGCGUGAGGGAAGAAGGUUUUCGGAUUGUAAACCUCUGUCUUCGGGGACGAAACAAAUGACGGUACUCGAGGAGGAAGCCACGGCUAACUACGUGCCAGCAGCCGCGGUAAUACGUAGGUGGCAAGCGUUGUCCGGAAUUACUGGGUGUAAAGGGAGCGCGGGCGGAACUGCAAGUUGGGUGUUUAAUCUACGGGCUCAACCCGUAUCAGCAUUCAAAACUGUGGUUCUUGAGUAAUGCAGAGGUAGGCGGAAUUCCCGGUGUAGCGGUGGAAUGCGUAGAUAUCGGGAGGAACACCAGUGGCGAAGGCGGCCUACUGGGCAUCAACUGACGCCGAGGCUCGAAAGCAUGGGUAGCAAACAGGAUUA